This 85-nucleotide transfer RNA is filed under the name archaeon 13_1_20CM_2_54_9. Its description in RNAcentral is "tRNA-Arg". The record is from RNAcentral.
GGGCCUUCGGAGUUGACCCAAAAACGUUGAGCGGGCCUUCGGAGUUAGCCCAAAAUCGUGGGUUCGAAUCCCACCGGGCCCGCCA